Molecule: long non-coding RNA, 493 nt
Organism: Lampris incognitus (smalleye Pacific opah)
Lineage: Eukaryota; Metazoa; Chordata; Actinopteri; Lampriformes; Lampridae
Exons: 4
Source: RefSeq, a predicted model, not a curated record
AGAAAUGACAGCUGUCUGCGUGACCGUGGCACUCACAUUCUGAGGCCAAGAGGCACGAUGACAGACGGAGGACAGGAGAUGAGAUGGAUUGAGUCAGCGAGAGGAAAGGAGAGAGAGCAAGAACGAAUGGCCAAGAUCUACUGUCCUAGGGCUCUUUCAUCCUGUUUAAGCAUAGAUCACCUACUCUGGCAUGGGUUUGGCUCCCCACUGCUUCCAUUGGCAGGCCUCCACGGAUGGUCAUUGAAGAGUGGGGCACACCUCUCACAGUGCUCCCCUGCUGUGUUGAGACCUCAGACCUGAAGGAGCAGGUGUUGUCUCUUUCGCAUGGGGCUGUGGAGCUGCAGGACAAGUCUGAGCCUGGAGAAGUCUGAUGCGGAGGGUGUGGCACUGGUAUAAUGGGAGGUACACAAUGAGCCUGGCUGGUGAACAUCGUCAGGGACACCAAACUCCAGGCUGCAGUUGUGGGCGAACAGUUUGAGGGUUUCCCAGGUCU